GGGGCUGGUGGCUCGUGCUUCAGUGUGGUGCAGUGGCACAAUCGGAGGACUAUUGGUGCGAUCGAUGAUGGACAGCAGUGGGUGGCCAGUGGCGAGGGCCGAAUGGCGACAAAAUCAAAGAAAAAAAGAUAAAAAAUAAGAGACUUCUUCAUGAUGGGUUUUCGGCGAAAUCGAUGGCUGACGGUGAGGUUUGGGGCCAUGGAGAGAAAGAGAAGAAGGAGAGAAAGAAGGGAG
Molecule: long non-coding RNA, 234 nt
Filed under: Elaeis guineensis (African oil palm)
Lineage: Eukaryota; Viridiplantae; Streptophyta; Magnoliopsida; Arecales; Arecaceae
Description: long non-coding RNA (EGUI_LNC008506)
Source: RNAcentral